GAGUAGGGAGGAAGGAGGGGGAGAGACAGAUUAGAGGAGGGAGAGAGGGUGGAGAGGAAGAAGAGAGGAGAGACAGAUUAGAGGAGGGGAGAGACAGGUUAGAGGAGAGGAGAGACAGGUUAGAGGAGGGAGAGAGGUUAAAGGAGUGAGAGAGGGGUUAGAGGAGAGGAGAGACAGGUUAGAGGAGGGAGAGACAGGUUAGAGGAGAGAGGGGUUAGAGGAGAGGAGAGACAGGUUAGAGGAGGGAGAGACAGGUUAGAGGAGAGGAGAGACAGGUUAGAGGAGGGAGAGACAGGUUAGAGGAGAGAGGGUUUAGAGGAGAGGAGAGAGGGGUUAGAGGAGAGGAGAGACAGGUUAGAGGAGGGAGAGACAGGUUAGAGGAGGGAGAGACAGGUUAGAGGAGGGAGAGACAGGUUAGAGGAGACAGGG
This is a long non-coding RNA of Oncorhynchus tshawytscha (Chinook salmon), 429 nucleotides long. The record is from Ensembl. NCBI's taxonomy places the organism in Eukaryota, Metazoa, Chordata, Actinopteri, Salmoniformes, Salmonidae.